GCCCAGACUCCUACGGGAGGCAGCAGUGGGGAAUUUUCCGCAAUGGGCGAAAGCCUGACGGAGCAACGCCGCGUGAGGGACGAAGGCCUCUGGGCUGUAAACCUCUUUUCUCAAGGAAGAAGAUAUGACGGUACUUGAGGAAUAAGCCACGGCUAAUUCCGUGCCAGCAGCCGCGGUAAUACGGGAGUGGCAAGCGUUAUCCGGAAUUAUUGGGCGUAAAGCGUCCGCAGGCGGCUUUUCAAGUCUGCUGUUAAAGCGUGGAGCUUAACUCCAUCAUGGCAGUGGAAACUGAAAGGCUUGAGUAUGGUAGGGGCAGAGGGAAUUCCCGGUGUAGCGGUGAAAUGCGUAGAUAUCGGGAAGAACACCAGUGGCGAAGGCGCUCUGCUGGGCCAUUACUGACGCUCAUGGACGAAAGCCAGGGGAGCGAAAGGGAUUAGAUACCCCUGUAGUCCUGGCCGUAAACGAUGAACACUAGGUGUCGGGGGAAUCGACCCCUUCGGUGUCGUAGCUAACGCGUUAAGUGUUCCGCCUGGGGAGUACGCACGCAAGUGUGAAACUCAAAGGAAUUGACGGGGGCCCGCACAAGCGGUGGAGUAUGUGGUUUAAUUCGAUGCAACGCGAAGAACCUUACCAGGGUUUGACAUCCUGCGAACCUCUUAGAAAUUUGAGGGUGCCUUCGGGAAUGCAGUGACAGGUGGUGCAUGGCUGUCGUCAGCUCGUGUCGUGAGAUGUUGGGUUAAGUCCCGCAACGAGCGCAACCCACGUUUUUAGUUGCCAGCAUUUAGUUGGGCACUCUAGAAAGACCGCCGGUGAUAAACCGGAGGAAGGUGUGGAUGACGUCAAGUCAUCAUGCCCCUUACACCCUGGGCUACACACGUACUAC
Molecule: ribosomal RNA, 883 nt
Filed under: marine metagenome
Description: bacterial SSU rRNA
Rfam family: Bacterial small subunit ribosomal RNA
Source: RNAcentral